Molecule: long non-coding RNA, 5461 nt
Organism: Symphalangus syndactylus (siamang)
Lineage: Eukaryota; Metazoa; Chordata; Mammalia; Primates; Hylobatidae
Source: RefSeq, a predicted model, not a curated record
AUGUUCCCCCAGCUGGGCAAAGGUCCAUACACACAAAAGAAACAGCAAUGAGCUGCCAUGGGAUGGGAGAAGGCGCUCUGAAGACGGAUGCGGAGCCUGCAGAGUGGCUGUGUUUACCACCAACCCCAUCACACACCACCAGAGCUGACUGAUUUGAAUUUCAGACCAGAGUUGAGCCAGGGCCUGGAAGAAGUCACAAAGAAACACAACCUGGAAAAUGGAAGCAACCUUAAAAGUAAAAUGUAGUGAAAGAAAUGAAAGGCUGGAAAGUAAACUAAAGAGGUUUCCUAGAAGUUACACAUGCAGCAGUGAUGAAAAAAGGGGGAACAGACGACUGGAGGAUCCAUUCAGUAGUCCCACACGGAACUGGCAGGAGCUCCGGAAAAAAAAAUGUGGAAUUAUUAAAACAGUAAUAAAAAGAAAAUAACAAGAACAGAAGGACUUGGGCUUUCGGAAUAAAGUGCCCAGGAGCACAGUGAAUGAAAGGAACCUGCCCACACCCGACACAUCAUCCUGAAAUGAGGGUUACAUGAGGCUUCCAGAAAGAAACUGGCCACAAAGAAAUUACCUCUGAGUGCCCCACUGGAGGCAGUGAAGCAACACCUUUGAAUCCCAGGGAAGAUGACUUCAUACCUAGAAUUCCCCGUCUAGUCAAAUUAUCAAUCAGUAUGAGUGCAGUACAGAACAUUGCUUCAAACCUACAAGUUCUCAAAUGUUUUACCUCCCUCAGCUUCUUUCUCAGAAAGCUACCGCAGGAUUUGCUCCACCAAAACAAGGGAGCUGCUUCCCAGGUCUUCUUUCUUAGGAAGCGAGUGGAGGAGAGGCAGAGAGAGUGGGGAGCUGGGGAACAGGCAGAGGCUCCAAUGGGGCGGGGCAGGAGAAGGCACAGUGGAUUACUGAUUGAUCUGUGGCUUUGUUCUCAGAAAUGCAUUUUAAGGCUCUGGCAAAGAGUCUGAAGAUGAAUUAGAACAGAUACACAGAUUAGAAAAUGAAGUUAUUAACCCCAGGGGAAGCAAGAGUGACCCAUGAAUGGAAAUGUAACCAGAGUGUACUUAUCACUGCCCAGUUGCACAGCCCCUCGUGACAAAAAUUACAACUAACUCCACUGGGGGUCUGGGGGAAGAAAGAGAGGGAAGGGGAGGGGACAAGAGUCGGAGAACACAAUCCGGUCUUCCAUCAUAAUACAACAUCUAAGAUGGAAAAGUAAGGAAAUGUAGGUGUAUCUAGUUUGAAGGAAAAUACCAAAAUGGCUAAAAUAGUUGAAACUCACUGUCUCAGGGCAGCAGGGAAGGGACAAAGGGACAAGGCAAGCAAGUGCUGCUUCCUCUCUCAAGUUAAAUAAGAACUAUUUUACUUUAAAAUUACCUGCAUUAAUUACUUUCAUAAAAUGAAUUAACCUUAAAAAGAUAUCCAUGUUCUGGUUCCUCACAGCCUGGGGAAAGCAGCCCAGUGGAUCCAGAAGCAGAAGACACAACCUCCUGAAGGGAGGCUCCCAAGGACAGCAAGAGUGAGCUGCCUCUGUGGAGAGCCUGGGUCCCUAGGGCAGCCACAUUUGGGGGCUCAAACACGCUGUAAAAAUAGGAUUGUUCACCGCAAAGCCGAAGCGCUGGGCAGUGGCACAGGAUUUAAUGCAGAAUGCCGGCUUCUAAUGUGGUCAGCCUCUUCCACUCCACUCCUGCCCCCUCCCUCCGAUGCACCCCACCCCUCCCAGGCUGCCUCGCAGACUUGGCACUUGCUGCUCCCUCUUCCAGACUGUUCUUCCCCCAGGAGCUGCUGGUGGCUGGCUCCAGCCCACAGUUACUCUUUGCCUCCCCUGACCUCCACACUCCAUCCCCCUCUGCAGUAGUGUUUUCAUAGCACUUGGCCUAAGGACCUGAAAAUGCCUCCAUGACUUAGUUGAGGCCGAACAGGAGAAACACAAACAUCCCAGUGAGAAGAUUUGGGCCAGACCUGGAGAGGACAAAGGUAAGGCGCCAAGAGUGGAAAGUUCCACAAAACAAAAUCUCCAGUGAAAAGAGAUUGAAAACAAAUCUUGUAAUAGUAUCCACAACCAAACCCAGGGAUGGCAAAGCCAUCCCCGAACGAAUGUGGCUGAGAGAAGGUAUUUCCAGGAGUGUCAGCAGGUGCCCAGGUGGAAGCCAGCAGGUUCUCCUGGGUGGCUUUAAAUGGUUACGAAGGACCGUCAGGACUGGUGCUGUUUACGCGGUUACUCAAACUGGUUACGUUGAAAAGAAACCUUUUUCUUAAUUGCUUUUACCUUGGACCAGUCCAGACACUGCCAUGUAGAACUCAGCAGGGCACGGGCACACCCACCUGGCUUCCAGGCCCUGCCCUGAGAACAAUGACUGACCACCAGGCUUCCCGGCACGGAUUUAUAUCCAGGUCUGCAGUGUACUGACCUCAUCAGCAGACACCAGAUUCUCGAUGGCAUAAAUCAGACCCUGCUGCUCUUCUCAAAUGGCCUUUAAAACAGUCCACAUGAGUAGCCAAAGGUCAGGACAGAAGGCCCAUGCCACACACUGCUCCUCCCAGGGAGGGGGAGGGGCUGCACAUUUUCUUUGUGACAUUGGAGGGUUUUUUUUUUUCCUUUUUCAACAAGAAUGCAUUGUUUCAUAUAAUUUUAAAGUUGCUUUAAACAAAGCACACACUACACUCACACAGAUCUGCCGGCCCCGCGAGUUCUUUCAGAAUAGUGGCUCCAUAAUCAUUGAUGGGCAUUACAUUAAGGACCUCACUCUAAAUAGCUAAAUUAAAACAAAAGGAGAAACAGCCCAUUUUGCUGGCUUUCUUCGCCAUUUCUGAGAAGCAAAGGUAUCCCGCUGGGAGCUGAGCUGUAUGCACGUGCAUUUUGCCCUGACAGUGUGAAAUUGCUGCCCUUUGCAUUCAGAAAGAAUGACUUGACACAGGAGCCCAUUAGAAAGACAGGGUUAUGAAAUGUCACUCUCAUUACUUACACGUAAUUGGGGCUGUUCAUGAGGGUGCACGAGCCCACUUUAAAUGUCAGCAGAAUGGAACUCCGAGGGGGCUCUGAGCCCCACACUCUUCUGCCUGUCAGUACUUGUCAGAAGGCAGCUCUCCCACCCCCAGGGGUCUUCAAAUCAAGGCAGGAGGUCACAGCAGAGAAAAUGGGAGUACCCAGCAACCACUGUGCAUAUAUGUCUGCGUGUAUGUAUAUAUAUAUGGACGCAUGUACAUCUGUGUGUAUGCAUCUGUGUAUGUGCAUGCAUGUGCAUCUGUAUUUCUGUAUCUGUGCACGUGAACCCGCACAGAUAUGUGCACCUAUCCACGUUUGUACAUUUGUAUACCUCUGUACUGGUGUGUUGUGUACAUGUGUAUGUCUGCAUGUCUGCACAUGCAUGUGUAUGUCUGUGUGCAUACAUAUGUACACCUGUGUAUGUGUAUGUGCAUCUGCUUGGAUCUCUGCAUGUGUAUACGUAUGUGUAUGCAUGGGCAUCUGUGUAUGUGUGUGUAUAAUGUAUGUGUGUACCUGUGCAUGUUUGUCUGUGUAUAUAUAUCCAUACAUAGGUAUCUGUGUAUGCAUAUACAUGUGUGCACAGCUAUAUGCGCACAUAUGUGCAUGCAUCUGUGUAUGUGUAUGCAGACAUGUAUGUGUGCAUCUGUGUGUGCAUGUGUGUAUAUGUGCAUCUGUGCAUGUGUCACUCUGUUGCAGAACAUACAUUCUGAUCUAGUGUUGCAUCUUAGAUGUGAAUAGUGACUGCUGGCAAGUGUCCUGUAAGGCAGGAACCAUGGACCAAAAUGCCAUCUGGGGACUGUCCAGCCACCCGUGUCUCGGCUCCUUCCUGGGAUCAGCUGUCUGGCAGCUAGGGGAGAUUACAGAGGGGACACCAGUCACUACCACAUGGAAGGUGUCAGUGCUUCUGCCAGCAACAGGAUGCAACACUGGCAUUAAAAUGCCCUGGCUAGCAUCCCAGGGAAACUGAAAGGGGAUCUCUUGUGACAGCUGUGGACUGGCCAAUCUAACAUAGGCAGUUAUUACCUGGACCCUUGACCUCACUGCAAACCACUGCAUGGGGGAGCGUGUUCUGGCUUAUUUCUUAUCUCAGGGGUUUGCCCAGAUGGGGCAGGUGAAGCUUAGAGUCUCUCCAGGCCCUGCAACCAGGACAGUGGAGGUCACGCACUCACCACAUCUUCCCUCCCAGCUGGAAGCAGGCAGCCAGGUGCUGGGAAACAGAAGACACCGCAGCCCUCACCAACCAUGCCCUGCCAGUGCCUGGCCACCUAGUAUCCCCACCCUGGGAUGUCCUCUGCCCCCAGAAACCCCUCUCCCACCUCCGGUUAGGGUGCUGAUGUCACUGCCUUGCAAACUGAGGAUAAAAUGGCCUUAUCCCAUCAGGAAUCAGGAAUGGGUUUCAGGAGCUGUCUAGGUCACAAGCAUAAUAAACAGCUUAUUGUUCCAACUUCAGUUUUCCUAGAAUUUAAAAUGGAUCCCUAGAGACCAGCACUCCAGUUCUGCAGGGACAUGCCUAGCCCUGGACCUGUGUUGGGCUGGACUCACCCAGCAGGGCAGCUGCCAGGACCAGUCUUCUUCACCCUCAAGCCACAUCCCUGCAGGGGCAAGUGAGCCACAGCCAGGAUAUCUCAGACAUGCUCUAACCCUCACCCACUUCCCAAACCCCUGGGUGCAGCAGGUACAGAAUGGGAAGCCCAGGGAGAGAGACGGAGGGCGGUGGGAGUGAGGGACACAUGCAUCCAUCUAUCAGCAUUGUCAGCAGGGCAAACACUAUGAGGAUGCAUGCAGAGUGGUGGCAGGAGCAGGGCCCUUCAGAGGAAGAGUGGGGACCCCUCUAAGCAGCAGCCAGCAUGGCAGAGAUGCAGACUGUCAUGCCAUUUGUGUGACAUCACUCUACUCUUCAGACUUGGAUACAGACAAUACUGUCUUUUCUGGAGGGUGUGUGGUGUGUGCAUGCAUCCUUGGGCCCAAGCAAGUUAGUGCUAGCAAAAAUAAUCAUCUUCCACUGGCCUAAUGUUGACCUGCUGCCACCUCCAGGGGGGCCAAUGGUCUCCCUACUGGACACUGGCUCCCAGGGACAGUGUGCGGUUGUUCUGGGAAGUGGCUGGCCAGCCCCUCAGGGAGGACUGUGUUAACCCUGCGGCCCUAAAGGGAUGCCUGGUGUCGUGUCUUUCAAAGGUGAUACUAUGGUCUGAACGUCUGGAUUACCCCCAAAUUCAGAUGUUGAAACCCUAACCACCAAUGUGAUGGUUUCUGGAGAGGGAGCCUUUGGGAGGUGACUGGGUCAGGAGGGCAGAAUCUUCAUGAAUGGAAGUCGUGCCCCUAUAAAAGGAGUCCCAGAGAGCUCCCUCACCCCUCAACCACGUGAGAAGACGCUGUCUAUGUACCAGGAGGAGGGCCUUCACCAGACACCAAAUCUGCCAGCGCCUUAAUCUUGGACUUCCCAGCCUCCAGAAUGGAUAAAUAAAUGUCUGUUUUUAUAUCACCCAG